Molecule: RNA transcript, 2070 nt
Organism: Drosophila persimilis
Lineage: Eukaryota; Metazoa; Arthropoda; Insecta; Diptera; Drosophilidae
Gene: nxf2
Gene name: nuclear RNA export factor 2
Exons: 4
Source: RefSeq, a predicted model, not a curated record
GCGUGGAUCCGCUCAAGCUAUUUGGCGAUGUCGAAUAUGGACUCGUGGAUCUCAGUGAAAACAAGGUAUGUGUGAGGUGUAAAGUAAGGCAUCAAAUCUAGCAACAGGUAAUUUUCAGAUUGCUUCUUCGGUUCGUCUGUGGCGUGAAUUGAAGCGUGUUCGAGCGAAGGAACUGAAGCUGGCCAACGUUCCCAUCACCAUGAGUUCCAAAUAUCCCAACAGCAUUAAGGCGUUGCAGGGAAACUUUAGUAUGGUGGAUGGCAUUCCCCACGGCAAGCUCCACAGCACCUAUACGCCCCUGAAGCACGAUAUCGAUUUGGAGUCGACGGCAUACGCAUUGACUGGACAAAAAAAUCGAAGCUGGCUGAUUUUGAGCAUAGCGAAGAUUGGCAUGCAUUUUUGGUACCCGAUCCUAUGCACGCGUUAACUGAAACAAAUCUCUUUACAUUAUUCUUUAUUACGACAAACCAAUUUCUGAGCGAGAUCUAUCCCUGCUACUACAAGUUUGACGGAAAGGAGCACAUUUUUCUAGUGCACAACUGCUUCGAACAGAUUGCGUAUUUAGUGCACAGUUGCAAUCUGGAGAUACAAAUCCACGAAACGGUGCCAAAGGUAGAAGAUCCAGAUGUGUGCAUGGGUCCUCGUACUAUUCCGUUCUAUAUGCGCAUGAAUGUCAGCCGCUUUAAGCUCCAUAAUGUGGAUCCCCAGGAGAGGAUUACCAAAUGCAUACAGAAGUGCUAUGUGGCCCAGAAUCGGCUGCUCAAAAUGUCAGACUUCCAGGCAACCGAGGGCCUUAAGGGCCUUUGGGUCCACAUGGGCUCGACGAGGAUUCUGAACAAUAUUCUAACAAUUAUCUCGCGUCAGUACAUGUCAAACUGCUCGGAGAUCCGUCUGUGCAACAAUAAUAUUCUCAGGAUAGACGCCGCGCGCGUCCUGUCGCGAAUGUGGAGCCUCGUGCGUUAGAUUUGGGCCAUUAUUGGAUAAACGAUUUGGAGGACAUCAAGGCGUUGGGUGAGCUACCGCUGAAGUCCCUGCGACUCCAUGGCAAUCCGCUGUGCCGAAAGUACAUCCAGGCAGUGAAGGAAAUCUUCCCCCAACUGACGACGCUGGAUGGGGUGGAUCUGAGCAGCAAGCCGGGCCAGGUGCCGCAGAAGAACUUCCUGUGCGACAUUGGGGCCAACGAGCUGGUGGGCGACGUAUUUCUUAGCAACUAUCUGCACGAGUUCGAGCAGGCGGACAUGCGGGCCAACCGCCUGAUGAAAUAUUACACGGAAAACUCCAUAUUCACGAUGACCAGCAACUAUGUGAUGGGGCGCUCGCAAUCAACGCCCAGCUCUUUAAGCGCAUCUCAAAGUACACCAAGCAUUCGCGGGACAUCAGAAAGUAGUCGGACUAUACCAAAGCCACAAACGAAUUUCAUGUGGGUUUGAUGGAGAUCAUUCGCGUGCUCAUGGAGCUGCCGAGUGUCGUCCACGACUUUCGAUCCCUCCAGACUGAUGUGAUGCACUACAAUGGCCAGUUGGCAGUUAUUCAUUUGACUGGUCUGAUGCGCGACGACUCUCCGAGCACACAUAACCAGGCGGAGCUCUAUUUGGCCUUUACCAGGAACUUUGUACUCAAGGUUGAUAAGGAGGGACUGGGCUUAGGAAAGAAGGCUUGCCGCUGAAAGAUCUCUAAUGACCACCUGAGCAUCAUAAAUCCCUCGAGGAACCAGGUACAAGAUGCGUUCAAGGUCUGCCCACUGCGAAGGAAUCGUCUGAAUGCGCCAGCCUCCAAGGAUUCACUUGAUGCCAAGAGCCACAAGCUCAUUUUUUUCCUCCAGCUUACCGGACUAACACCUCCCUGGUGCACAAGGAUCGUGGAGUCGGCCGAAUGGGACUUUGAACGGGCCAGCAAAAUGUUUCUCGAAAUGAAGAACAACAGAGAGAUUCCCGAAUUGGCCUUUGUCUAGGCAGACGGCAAGCAAGCAGCAGUACUUAAUGCUUUGCGGAAACCGAAUUUAACACCAACACCAAUUUAACUAACCAAAGAACAAAUCAAAGAAUAUCUACUAAGAAUUUUUGCCUUCAA